Molecule: ribosomal RNA, 469 nt
Filed under: uncultured bacterium
Lineage: Bacteria
Description: partial 16S ribosomal RNA
Rfam family: Bacterial small subunit ribosomal RNA
Source: RNAcentral
GACGAACGCUGGCGGCGUGCUUAACACAUGCAAGUCGAACGGAAAGGCCCUGCUUGCAGGGUGCUCGCGUGGCGAACGGGUGAGUAACACGUGGGUGAUCUGCCCCCUACUUUGGGAUAAGCCUGGGAAACUGGGUCUAAUACUUGAUAGGACCAUUCUGUAGGUGGUGUGGUGGAUAGAUUAGUUUCGGUAAGGGAUGAGCUCUCGGCAUAUCAGCUUGUUGUUGGGGUAAUGGCCUACCAAGGCGUCGCCGGGUAGCCGGCCUGAGAGGGUGGACGGCAAGAUUGGGACUGAGAUGCGACCCAGACUCCUACGGGAGGCAGCAGUGGGGAAAAGUGCACAAUGGGCGCAAGCCGGAUGCAGCGACGCCGCGUGGGGGAUGACGGCCUUCGGGUUGUAAACAACUUACGGCCAUGAAGAAGCCCUUGUGGUGACGGUAGUGGUAGAAGAAGCACCGGCUAACUACGUG